UACGUAGGGUGCAAGCGUUGUCCGGAAUUAUUGGGCGUAAAGAGCUCGUAGGCGGUUUGUCGCGUCUGCCGUGAAAGUCCGGGGCUCAACUCCGGAUCUGCGGUGGGUACGGGCAGACUAGAGUGUGGUAGGGGAGACUGGAAUUCCUGGUGUAGCGGUGGAAUGCGCAGAUAUCAGGAGGAACACCGAUGGCGAAGGCAGGUCUCUGGGCCAUUACUGACACUGAGAAGCGAAAGCAUGGGGAGCGAACAGG
RNAcentral lists this ribosomal RNA (253 nucleotides) under uncultured bacterium. RNAcentral describes it as "partial 16S ribosomal RNA". It matches the Rfam family "Bacterial small subunit ribosomal RNA", at positions 524 to 776 of the family's 1533-position model. The record is from RNAcentral.